CUACGGGUCGCUGCAGUGGGGAAUAUUGGACAAUGGGGGAAACCCUGAUCCAGCAAUGCCGCGUGUGUGAAGAAGGCCUGCGGGUUGUUAAGCACUUUCGGUUGGGAGGACUGCUUCUAGCACUAAUAUUGUUGGAAGUUGACGUUACCUUCAGAAGAAGCACCGGCUAACUCCGUGCCAGCAGCCGCGGUAAUACGGAGGGUGCAGGCGUUAAUCGGAAUUACUGGGCGUAAAGCGCGCGUAGGCGGCUAGAUCAGUCGGGUGUGAAAGCCCCGGGCUUAACCUGGGAACUGCAUCCGAUACUGUCUAGCUUGAGUACAGGAGAGGAGAGUGGAAUUCCACAUGUAGCGGUGAAAUGCGUAGAUAUGUGGAGGAACACCAAUGGCGAAGGCAGCUCUCUGGCCUGAUACUGACGCUGAGGUGCGAAAGCGUGGGGAGCAAACAGGAUUAGAUACCCGGGUAGUC
Molecule: ribosomal RNA, 465 nt
Filed under: uncultured bacterium
Lineage: Bacteria
Description: partial 16S ribosomal RNA
Rfam family: Bacterial small subunit ribosomal RNA
Source: RNAcentral